ACGGACCAAGGAGUCUAGCAUGUGCGCGAGUCAUUGGGAAUUAGUAAACCCAGAGGCGUAAUGAAAGUGAAAAAGUUUCGUGCGUGUUUCGUGCGCGCGCGAAGAGGGAAGAUGAACGACGUGCGGCGGUCGGUGACGCGUUCGCGCGCGCCGUCGAUCGACCGUCGUUCCGCAUUCCCGAGGCGUUUCGAGAAAAGCGCACAUCGUUAAGGUGUCGUUAUUAUCGAGACGCACUGAGAGCGCACACGCUGGGACCCGAAAGAUGGUGAACUAUGCCUGGUCAGGUCGAAGUCAGGGGAAACCCUGAUGGAGGACCGAAGCGAUUCUGACGUGCAAAUCGAUCGUCUGAACUGGGUAUAGGGGCGAAAGACUAAUCGAACUAUCUAAUAGCUGGUUCCAUCCGAAGU
This 407-nucleotide ribosomal RNA is filed under the name Antillopsyche demma. RNAcentral describes it as "eukaryotic LSU rRNA". It matches the Rfam family "Eukaryotic large subunit ribosomal RNA", at positions 661 to 967 of the family's 3401-position model. The record is from RNAcentral. Lineage: Eukaryota; Metazoa; Arthropoda; Insecta; Trichoptera; Polycentropodidae.